AGAAGGUAAAAAGAAGUUAUAUCUUUGAUGGAUGCAACAUACUUAACGUUAUACGCUUAUGCAAAACGGCUCUAAGUAUUUUAACCACAUAAAGAUUCAGAGAGGUUCAGCGCUACCACCUUUGGAGCAAUGCACAACAUGCUGCAGAAAUUUUCACUGCCCUUUUUGUGAUGGUCUUUGAGGCACCCUUUGAUUUCACAGCUUCUGAUUUCCCUCUUAUUCGAAAAUGGUGGUGCCUUAUUCUGAUGGAGAACUUUGCCAUUGAAAGGAAACAUUGAUGUGCAGGUGCCACCUAAAGCACAAGAAACUGAAAUUGACGACAAGGAACCACAGAUAGUCAAAGACCUCAGGACAGGAGCUGCAUGGCUCCGGGAAAACUGCCACUCGUUCAGAGGUUUUGUGGAUGAGCCUUUUGUGGAUGAGCCGUGGUAUCUUAACCUAAAUAAGGAAGACCAGGAAAAGGCCCUUAAAGGGUAACUAAACACCUGCUCAGAGUCUGACUCCACCCACUAGAAAUAUUUGAAAAUGCUGGAAAAGUGGGCAGACCCCGGCGGGGAUAGAGGGAACGAACCGAGUGCGGGGGGGGACCUGAGACUCGUAGUGACGGAUUAAUUGACAGCUGUUGUCAGACUCUAUGUUAUUAGGCUUGUUUGAGAUGCGCCUUGCCUCGCCUGAAAUGUAGGUGAGAGUAGGCGGCUGCAGUGAGGGGAGGAGUGAAAAAAGUGCAGGCAAGCCGGACACUUCCUGAAUCUCGCUGUGUUGUGGACUGCAAACGUCAGCAAUGGAAGAGAUCGCGUUCGCGUUCUUUAUCGCAGACGAAGUGGAUGCAAUUGAAAUACCACUGUUUUUACACGAAGAUGGUUAUGAUGAGGAGAAUCACCGAGGGUGAACAGUGCUCAUUACUUAAAAUGGCUUAUUCAGUAAAUGGUAGGGAUAUAAAUCUAGAGUGGUAUGUUGCAACUUGCAUCUAAUGAAACUUAUGUCGUGUAAAAAAUAA
Long non-coding RNA from Xyrauchen texanus (razorback sucker), 997 nucleotides. RefSeq lists it as uncharacterized. The record is from RefSeq and is a predicted model, not a curated record. The transcript has 5 exons. NCBI's taxonomy places the organism in Eukaryota, Metazoa, Chordata, Actinopteri, Cypriniformes, Catostomidae.